RNAcentral lists this long non-coding RNA (312 nucleotides) under Pelobates cultripes (western spadefoot toad). Lineage: Eukaryota; Metazoa; Chordata; Amphibia; Anura; Pelobatidae. The record is from RNAcentral.
GUAAUUGUCAGGAUUACUGUUUGAUCCAGCACGUAGAACUGUACAGCACGGAUGACAAAUAAGUAACGUAUUACCGGUCCUUAGAAUGGCCGGAUUUAACGUACAAAGAAUAGUCAAAAAUACUAGCGAGGUCAGGGAACACAGAAAGGGACACAGCGAUGAGGAAAGCCAGGAGUCAGGAUACCAGAAUAUAGAGAAGUCAAUAAACAAAGCCAAAGUCAAAAACCAGGUAGAAAACUAUAAACAGGAACGCGUUCUCAGACAACCACAAGGGGAACCACGACAGGGCACUGAGCAGGCUGAGAACUGGGC